RNAcentral lists this ribosomal RNA (578 nucleotides) under uncultured bacterium. RNAcentral's name for it is "bacterial SSU rRNA". It matches the Rfam family "Bacterial small subunit ribosomal RNA", at positions 338 to 916 of the family's 1533-position model. The record is from RNAcentral.
CCUACGGGAGGCAGCAGUAGGGAAUAUUGGACAAUGGACGCAAGUCUGAUCCAGCCAUCCCGCGUGAAGGAUUAAGGCCCUAUGGGUUGUAAACUUCUUUUCUUUGGGAAUAAAAAGCGGUAUUCAUAUCGCCUUGAAGGUACCAGAGGAAUAAGCACCGGCUAACUCCGUGCCAGCAGCCGCGGUAAUACGGAGGGUGCAAGCGUUAUCCGGAUUCACUGGGUUUAAAGGGUGCGUAGGUGGCUUUGUAAGUCAGCGGUGAAAGCCUGGAGCUCAACUCCAGAAUUGCCAUUGAUACUGCAGAGCUUGAAUCAAGUUGAGGUGGAUGGAAUAUUACAUGUAGCGGUGAAAUGCUUAGAUAUGUAAUAGAACACCGAUUGCGAAGGCAGUUCACUAAGCUUGUAUUGACACUGAGGCACGAAAGCGUGGGGAUCAAACAGGAUUAGAUACCCUGGUAGUCCACGCCCUAAACGAUGCAAACUCGACAUUAGCGAUAUACAGUUAGUGUCCAAGCGAAAGCGUUAAGUUUGCCACCUGGGAAGUACGACCGCAAGGUUGAAACUCAAAGGAAUUGACGG